GAACGGUAGCACAGAGGAGCUUGCUCCUUGGGUGACGAGUGGCGGACGGGUGAGUAAUGUCUGGGAAACUGCCCGAUGGAGGGGGAUAACUACUGGAAACGGUAGCUAAUACCGCAUAACGUCUUCGGACCAAAGUGGGGGACCUUCGGGCCUCACACCAUCGGAUGUGCCCAGAUGGGAUUAGCUAGUAGGUGGGGUAAUGGCUCACCUAGGCGACGAUCCCUAGCUGGUCUGAGAGGAUGACCAGCCACACUGGAACUGAGACACGGUCCAGACUCCUACGGGAGGCAGCAGUGGGGAAUAUUGCACAAUGGGCGCAAGCCUGAUGCAGCCAUGCCGCGUGUAUGAAGAAGGCCUUCGGGUUGUAAAGUACUUUCAGUGGGGAGGAAGGCGUUAAGGUUAAUAACCUUAGCGAUUGACGUUACCCNGCAGAAGAAGCACCGGCUAACUCCGUG
RNAcentral lists this ribosomal RNA (455 nucleotides) under uncultured bacterium. Its description in RNAcentral is "bacterial SSU rRNA". It matches the Rfam family "Bacterial small subunit ribosomal RNA", at positions 64 to 507 of the family's 1533-position model. The record is from RNAcentral.